Balaenoptera ricei (Rice's whale) is the source of this 107-nucleotide small nuclear RNA. The record is from RefSeq and is a predicted model, not a curated record. NCBI's taxonomy places the organism in Eukaryota, Metazoa, Chordata, Mammalia, Artiodactyla, Balaenopteridae.
GUGCUUGCUUCAGCAGCACAUAUACUAAAAAUGGAACAAUACAGAGAAGAUUAGCAUAGCCCCUGUGCAAGGAUGACAUGCAAAUUUGUGAAGUGUUCCGUAUUUUU